AAGUCGUAACAAGGUUUCCGUAGGUGAACCUGCGGAAGGAUCAUUAAAAUUAUAGCAAACCGAGCGAUAGCGAGGUUUUGCGAUCAAAAUUGUAUUUAAAACCCAACUCUUUGAAUCAAAUAUAUAAUGUAUUUUAAAAAUAAAUAAAAGAUCACUUUCAACAACGGAUCUCUUGGCUCUC
RNAcentral lists this unclassified non-coding RNA (181 nucleotides) under fungal sp. Its description in RNAcentral is "partial internal transcribed spacer region". The stretch from base 1 to 46 matches the Rfam family "Eukaryotic small subunit ribosomal RNA", at positions 1786 to 1831 of the family's 1831-position model. The record is from RNAcentral. Lineage: Eukaryota; Fungi. RNAcentral also lists the same sequence under 1 other name.